CAAGUCGAGCGGAUUGAAGGGAGCUUGCUCCCUGAUAUUAGCGGCGGACGGGUGAGUAACACGUGGGCAACCUGCCCUGCAGAUGGGGAUAACUCCGGGAAACCGGGGCUAAUACCGAAUAAUCAGUUCUUCCGCAUGGAAGAACUCUGAAAGACGGUUUCGGCUGUCACUGCAGGAUGGGCCCGCGGCGCAUUAGCUAGUUGGUGGGGUAACGGCCUACCAAGGCGACGAUGCGUAGCCGACCUGAGAGGGUGAUCGGCCACACUGGGACUGAGGCACGGCCCAGACUCCUACGGGAGGCAGCAGUAGGGAAUCUUCCACAAUGGACGAAAGUCUGAUGGAGUAACGCCGCGUGAGCGAAGAAGGUUUUCGGAUCGUAAAGCUCUGUUGCGAGGGAAGAACAAGUACGGGAGUAACUGCCCGUACCUUGACGGUACCUCGUCAGAAAGCCACGGCUAACUACGUGCCAGCAGCCGCGGUAAUACGUAGGUGGCAAGCGUUGUCCGGAAUUAUUGGGCGUAAAGCGCGCGCAGGCGGUCCUUUAAGUCUGAUGUGAAAGCCCACGGCUCAACCGUGGAGGGUCAUUGGAAACUGGAGGACUUGAGUACAGAAGAGGAAAGCGGAAUUCCACGUGUAGCGGUGAAAUGCGUAGAGAUGUGGAGGAACACCAGUGGCGAAGGCGGCUUUCUGGUCUGUAACUGACGCUGAGGCGCGAAAGCGUGGGGAGCAAACAGGAUUAGAUACCCUGGUAGUCCACGCCGUAAACGAUGAGUGCUAAGUGUUAGGGGGUUUCCGCCCCUUAUUGCUGCAGCUAACGCAUUAAGCACUCCGCCUGGGGAGUAC
This 843-nucleotide ribosomal RNA is filed under the name uncultured Sporosarcina sp. RNAcentral's name for it is "bacterial SSU rRNA". It matches the Rfam family "Bacterial small subunit ribosomal RNA", at positions 58 to 883 of the family's 1533-position model. Lineage: Bacteria; Bacillati; Bacillota; Bacilli; Caryophanales; Caryophanaceae. The record is from RNAcentral.